GCCUACCAUGGUAGUAACGGGUAACGGGGUGUUAGGGCACGACACCGGAGAGGGAGCCUGAGAAACGGCUACCACAUCCAAGGAUGGCAGCAGGCGCGCAAAUUACCCAAUCCCGACACGGGGAGGUAGUGACAAUAAAUAACAAUACGGGGUUCUUUCGGAUCUCGUAAUUGGAAUGAGUACAAUUUAAAUCUCUUAACGAGGAACAAUUGGAGGGCAAGUCUGGUGCCAGCAGCCGCGGUAAUUCCAGCUCCAAUAGCGUAUAUUAAAGUUGUUGCAGUUAAAAAGCUCGUAGUUGAAUUUCGGGGUCAGCAGGUCGGUCGUGCCACUGGUAUGAACUGGCCUCGCUGAUCCCUCCCUCUUGACGAACUGUGAUGCCAUUAAUUUGGUGUCGCAGGGAAUCAGGACUGUUACUUUGAAAAAAUUAGAGUGUUUAAAGCAGGCUCACGCUUGAAUACAUUAGCAUGGAAUAAUGAAAUAGGACGUUUGAUCCUAUUUUGUUGGUUUCUAGGAUUGACGUAAUGAUUAAUAGGGAUAGUUGGGGGCAUUAGUAUUCAAUUGUCAGAGGUGAAAUUCUUGGAUUUAUUGAAGACUAACUACUGCGAAAGCAUUUGCCAAGGAUGUUUUCAUUAAUCAAGAACGAAAGUUAGGGGAUCGAAGACGAUCAGAUACCGUCGUA
RNAcentral lists this ribosomal RNA (679 nucleotides) under uncultured Glomus. RNAcentral's name for it is "SSU rRNA". It matches the Rfam family "Eukaryotic small subunit ribosomal RNA", at positions 339 to 1022 of the family's 1831-position model. The record is from RNAcentral. Lineage: Eukaryota; Fungi; Glomeromycota; Glomeromycetes; Glomerales; Glomeraceae.